AGACCCGAAACCCGGUGAUCUAGCCAUGGGCAGGUUGAAGGUUGGGUAACACUAACUGGAGGACCGAACCGACUAAUGUUGAAAAAUUAGCGGAUGACCUGUGGCUGGGGGUGAAAGGCCAAUCAAACCGGGAGAUAGCUGGUUCUCCCCGAAAGCUAUUUAGGUAGCGCCUCGUGAACUCAUCUCCGGGGGUAGAGCACUGUUUCGGCUAGGGGGCCAUCCCGGCUUACCAACCCGAUGCAAACUGCGAAUACCGGAGAAUGUUAUCACGGGAGACACACGGCGGGUGCUAACGUCCGUCGUGAAGAGGGAAACAACCCAGACCGCCAGCUAAGGUCCCAAAGUCAUGGUUAAGUGGGAAACGAUGUGGGAAGGCCCAGACAGCCAGGAUGUUGGCUUAGAAGCAGCCAUCAUUUAAAGAAAGCGUAAUAGCUCACUGGUCGAGUCGGCCUGCGCGGAAGAUGUAACGGGGCUAAACCAUGCACCGAAGCUGCGGCAGCGACACUUUAGUGUUGUUGGGUAGGGGAGCGUUCUGUAAGCCGUUGAAGGUGUCCUGUGAGGGGUGCUGGAGGUAUCAGAAGUGCGAAUGCUGACAUAAGUAACGAUAAAGCGGGUGAAAAGCCCGCUCGCCGGAAGACCAAGGGUUCCUGUCCAACGUUAAUCGGGGCAGGGUGAGUCGACCCCUAAGGCGAGGCCGAAAGGCGUAGUCGAUGGGAAACGGGUUAAUAUUCCCGUACUUGGUGUUACUGCGAAGGGGGGACGGAGAAGGCUAUGUUGGCCGGGCGACGGUU
RNAcentral lists this ribosomal RNA (791 nucleotides) under Salmonella enterica. RNAcentral's name for it is "partial 23S ribosomal RNA". It matches the Rfam family "Bacterial large subunit ribosomal RNA", at positions 711 to 1503 of the family's 2925-position model. The record is from RNAcentral. Lineage: Bacteria; Pseudomonadati; Pseudomonadota; Gammaproteobacteria; Enterobacterales; Enterobacteriaceae.